This 84-nucleotide transfer RNA is filed under the name Promethearchaeota archaeon. RNAcentral describes it as "Candidatus Lokiarchaeota archaeon tRNA-Ser". It matches the Rfam family "tRNA". Rfam says of the family: Transfer RNA (tRNA) molecules are approximately 80 nucleotides in length. Lineage: Archaea; Promethearchaeati; Promethearchaeota. The record is from RNAcentral.
GCAGACGUAACCAAGCGGUCGACGGUGCCGGUCUCGAAAACCGGUUGGCAAAUGCCUUCGGGGGUUCAAAUCCCCUCGUCUGCG